Long non-coding RNA from Mangifera indica (mango), 483 nucleotides. RefSeq lists it as uncharacterized. NCBI's taxonomy places the organism in Eukaryota, Viridiplantae, Streptophyta, Magnoliopsida, Sapindales, Anacardiaceae. The transcript has 2 exons. The record is from RefSeq and is a predicted model, not a curated record.
AUUAAUCGUACUUAUCUGGUGAAGGCACAUUCCAACAAUUAUGGUUUGAAAAAUUAUAAAGGUGGCACUUAUCCGCACGUUCGGAUUAUUUUUAUUCCCCCACAAGAACAUACAGUAUUUUGAGUGAGGUUUUCAUCUACAGAGAAGAUUUUUAGUGGCUGAGAGCGUUUUCCGGUGAGGAUAAAGUGAUUAAUCGACCUCGAAUUUUUCCUGCUGGGAUCACAAGUAGAAAAACAACGAGGCAGGCGGGGAGACGAGUGGAUCAGCACGUUGAACUGCGUUUUGGCUAUAAUUAUUUUAUUUCUAUUCCGAUCAUUUUCACAAUAAUUUACUUUAUGAAAUCCAUGUAUUCCGAAACUAUCAAUUUAUUUAUAUUCACUGAAUUUUACUUUGACACAUUUUGACACAUUUUUCUUUGUAUUCCAAUAAGUAUUAUGUGAUGAUUUCUCAUAAACAUCAAAUUGUAUUUGAUGGUUAUCAUUA